Molecule: ribosomal RNA, 253 nt
Filed under: uncultured bacterium
Lineage: Bacteria
Description: partial 16S ribosomal RNA
Rfam family: Bacterial small subunit ribosomal RNA
Source: RNAcentral
UACGUAGGGGGCGAGCGUUGUCCGGAGUUACUGGGCGUAAAGGGCAUGCAGGCGGUCGGACGCGUUUUGUGUGACAGCGGGUGGCUCAACUACGCGAGCAUACGAAAGACGGUUUGACUUGAGGACUGGAGAGGAGACUGGAAUUUACGGUGUAGCGGUGAAAUGCGUAGAUAUCGUAAGGAAGACCAGUGGCGAAGGCGGGUCUCUGGACAGUUCCUGACGCUGAGGCACGAAGGCCAGGGGAGCAAACGGG